GACGAACGCUGGCGGCGCGCCUAACACAUGCAAGUCGAACGAACGAGACAAGGCUUGCUUUCCCGAGCGAGUGGCGAACGGCUGAGUAGCGCAUGAGGAACCUGCCCUCAGAGAGGGGGACACCUGUUGAAAACAACUGCUAAUACCGCAUAGUCCCACAGGCCGGCGAUCGACCAUAGGGAAAAGGAGCCAUCCGCUUUGAGAUGGCCUCGCCUCAGAUUACCUCGUUGGUGAGGUAAUGGCCCGCCAGGGCGACGAUCGGCAGCCGGACUGACAGGUUGAACAGCCACAUUGGGACUGACACACUGGCCACACUCCUACGGGAGGCCGCAGUGGGGAAUAUUGCACAAUGGGCGAACCCGUGACGCAGAGACGCCGCGUGGAGGAAGAAGGUCUUCGGAUUGUAAAUUCCUGUGGUUGAUGAAGAUAAUGACGGUACUCUCCAAGGAAGUGUCGGCUAACUACGUGCCAGCAGCCGCGGUAAAACGUAGGUCACAAGCGUUGUCCGGAAUUACUGGGUGUAAAGGGAGCGCAGGCGGGAAGACAAGUCGGAAGUGAAAUCUAUGGGCUCAACCCAUAAACUGCUUUCAAAACUGUUUUUCUUGAGUAGUGCAGAGGUAGGCGGAAUUCCCGGUGUAGCGGUGGAAUGCGUAGAUAUCGGGAGGAACACCAGUGGCGAAGGCGGCCUACUGGGCACCAACUGACGCUGAGGCUCGAAAGUGUGGGUAGCAAACAGGAUUAGAUACCCUGGUAGUCCACACCGUAAACGAAGAUUACUAGGUGGGGGAGGAAUGCCUCCUUCACUGCAGCAGUCAACAACAAUAAUUAAUCCACCUGGGGAGUAUGGCCGCAAGGUUGAUAAUCAAAGGAAUUGACGGGGGCCCCCACCAGCAGUGGAGUAUGUGGUUUAAUUAGACGCAACGCGAAGAACCUCACCAAGUCUCGUCAUCCCUUGGCGAACAUAGAAAUAUGUUUUCUUUUUGGAGCAAGGAGACAGGUGGGGCAUGGUUGUUGUUAGCUUGUGUUGUGGGAAGGUGGGGUAAGUUCCGCCACGAGCGCCACCCCUUCUGUCUGUUUGUUCGCAAGAAGAAUUUUGCAGGGAUGCCGUUGGCAAAAAGGAGGAAGGGGGGGGGGGAGUCAAAUUAUCAUUCCCCCUAUGAUUUGGGGUUCCCCCGUACUUCAAAGGCGGUAAACAAAAAGAAGCAAGACCGCGGGGGGGGGGAAAACUCAGAAAAAACGUCCCAGUUCGGAUUGCAGGCUGCAACUCGCCUGCACGAAGUCGGAAUUGCUAGUAAUCGUGGAUCAGCAUGCCGCGGUGAAUACAAUCCCGGGCCUUGCACA
RNAcentral lists this ribosomal RNA (1341 nucleotides) under uncultured bacterium. Its description in RNAcentral is "partial 16S ribosomal RNA". It matches the Rfam family "Bacterial small subunit ribosomal RNA", at positions 28 to 1387 of the family's 1533-position model. The record is from RNAcentral.